GAAAUAGAAAAAAUUAUUAGUAUUGGUUUGAAUAUUUAGUUUAAAAAAAGUAGUUAAAAUUGAGUAUUUGUUAUGAAAAAGAUGGGUUAAUUAUAGUUUAAUAGUAUUGUGAGAGAAUUUUUUUUAUUAAUAAAAGAAAAAUUUAUUUUUGUAUCUUGUGUAUCAGAGUCAGUUAAAUUUUAUUAGGAAAAUAAUUUCUCGAAUUUAAAAGGGUUAAAUUUAAAUUAAUUAAUUGUGGAAUAAAUUUUUUAAAUUUAAAUUUAGUAAUGAAAUGUUAUUCGUUUUUAAUAUAUCUAGUUAUUUAAGAAAAAAGUUUAAUUUGUUUAUUAAUAAUUAUUUGUUUUACUUUAGAAUGGAAUGGUAUUAAUAAGUUAUUUUAAAGGGGAUAAGCUUUUUAAGAAAAUUUUAAAAAUUUUCUAAAAAAUAAAAGAUUAUGGGGUUAGAAGUGCUUUUUUUGGUAAAGUGUUAUAAUUAAUUUUUAUAAGAAUAUUAUUUUUAUGGGUUUUAAAUUUUUUAUUAAAUUAAAUAAUAUAAUCAAGUAUUUAUUGAAAUAAUGGUUGAAUAAGUAUUUAUGGGUGUAAAUAACUUUUUAGGGGAAGGUUAUUUUAAGGAAUUCGGCAAAUAUUUUUUUCACCUGUUUAUUAAAAACAUGGCCUUUUGAGAAUAAUUUUAGGUCUAGCCUGCCCACUGAAGUUUUAAAUGGCUGCGGUAUUUUGACCGUACUAAGGUAGCAUAAUCAUUAGUUUUUUAAUUGAAAGCUGGAAUGAAGGGUUGAAUGAAAAAAAAAUUGUCUCGAAGUUAUUUUAAUAGAAUUUUAUUUUUAAGUUAAAAAGCUUAAAUAGUUUUAAAAGACGAGAAGACCCUAUAGAGUUUUAUAUAAAGUAGUAUUAAGUGAUUAAGAAUUUAUAGUUUUAAUAUAAAUUUAUAAUUGGUUGGGGAGAUUAUAAAAUUAAUUAAACUUUUAAUAAAAAAAUCAUUUAUAAAUGAAAAUUUGAUCCAUAUUUAAUGAUUAAAAGAAAAAAUUACCUUAGGGAUAACAGCGUAAUUUUUUUUGAGAGUUCUUAUCGAUAGAAGAGAUUGCGACCUCGAUGUUGGAUUAAAAUUAAUUUUUGGUGAAGAAGUUAGAAAUUUUAGGUCUGUUCGACCUUUAAAAUUUUACAUGAUCUGAGUUUAAACCGGUGUGAGCCAGGUUGGUUUCUAUCUUUAAAAAAAUUAUUUAUUUUAGUACGAAAGGACCGAAUAAAUAAAAAAUUAUUAAGUUUUUGAAUAAUUGUGU
This 1276-nucleotide ribosomal RNA is filed under the name Lamiinae sp. 4 ACP-2013. Its description in RNAcentral is "16S ribosomal RNA". The stretch from base 1033 to 1192 matches the Rfam family "Bacterial large subunit ribosomal RNA", at positions 2473 to 2632 of the family's 2925-position model. Lineage: Eukaryota; Metazoa; Arthropoda; Insecta; Coleoptera; Cerambycidae. The record is from RNAcentral.